RNAcentral lists this non-coding RNA (119 nucleotides) under Stephanopyxis turris. The record is from RNAcentral. Lineage: Eukaryota; Bacillariophyta; Melosirophyceae; Stephanopyxales; Stephanopyxidaceae.
CCUUCGAAUGUCUCCCCAUACAUUUCAAUUUGUUAUUACAUUUAUAUUUUUGGUCAUUGCGAUAUUUUUUGGAAUUACCAUCGGUUUGAUAACAACGUCCAGGAAGAGCUCAAGUGUCU